GAUGAACGCUGGCGGCGUGCCUAAUACAUGCAAGUCGAGCGAACAGAUGAGGAGCUUGCUCCUCUGAUGUUAGCGGCGGACGGGUGAGUAACACGUGGAUAACCUACCUAUAAGACUGGGAUAACUUCGGGAAACCGGAGCUAAUACCGGAUAAUAUAUUGAACCGCAUGGUUCAAUAGUGAAAGACGGUUUUGCUGUCACUUAUAGAUGGACCCGCGCCGCAUUAGCUAGUUGGUAAGGUAACGGCUUACCAAGGCAACGAUGUGUAGCCGACCUGAGAGGGUGAUCGGCCACACUGGAACUGAGACACGGUCCAGACUCCUACGGGAGGCAGCAGUAGGGAAUCUUCCGCAAUGGGCGAAAGCCUGACGGAGCAACGCCGCGUGAGUGAUGAAGGUCUUCGGAUCGUAAAACUCUGUUAUUAGGGAAGAACAAAUGUGUAAGUAACUAUGCACGUCUUGACGGUACCUAAUCAGAAAGCCACGGCUAACUACGUG
Molecule: ribosomal RNA, 497 nt
Filed under: uncultured bacterium
Lineage: Bacteria
Description: partial 16S ribosomal RNA
Rfam family: Bacterial small subunit ribosomal RNA
Source: RNAcentral